Molecule: ribosomal RNA, 414 nt
Filed under: uncultured microorganism
Description: bacterial SSU rRNA
Rfam family: Archaeal small subunit ribosomal RNA
Source: RNAcentral
CAGCCGCCGCGGUAAUACCGGCGGCCCGAGUGGCGGUCACUAUUAUUGGGCUUAAAGCGUCCGUAGCCGGGUUGGGAAGUCCUCCGGGAAAUUUGGCCGCUUAAAGGUCAGAAUGGCGGAGGAUACUCCCAGCCUAGGGAGCGGGAGAGGCCGAGGGGAUUCCCGGAGUAGGGGGGAAAUCCUAUAAUCCCGGGAGGACCACCUGUGGGGAAGGCGCUCGGCUGGAACGCGUCCGACGGUGAGGGACGAAGGCCAGGGGAGCAAACCGGAUUAGAUACCCGGGUAGUCCUGGCUGUAAACGAUGCGGACUUUGUGUCGGACAAGCUAUGAGCUUGUCCGGUGCCGGAGGGAAACCGUUAAGUCCGCCGCCUGGGGAGUACGGCCGCAAGGCUGAAACUUAAAGGAAUUGGCGGG